AUACGUAGGUGGCGAGCGUUGUCCGGAAUUAUUGGGCGUAAAGAGCAUGUAGGCGGUUUUUUAAGUCUGGAGUGAAAAUGCGGGGCUCAACCCCGUAUGGCUCUGGAUACUGGAAGACUUGAGUGCAGGAGAGGAAAGGGGAAUUCCCAGUGUAGCGGUGAAAUGCGUAGAUAUUGGGAGGAACACCAGUGGCGAAGGCGCCUUUCUGGACUGUGUCUGACGCUGAGAUGCGAAAGCCAGGGUAGC
RNAcentral lists this ribosomal RNA (246 nucleotides) under uncultured bacterium. RNAcentral's name for it is "partial 16S ribosomal RNA". It matches the Rfam family "Bacterial small subunit ribosomal RNA", at positions 523 to 769 of the family's 1533-position model. The record is from RNAcentral.